AAGAACUUGUAUCAGAUUUCAGAGUUUUUUGAUCUCUGCCUUCUUAGCUUCAAUAAAAUUCUCUUUCAAUUACUUCCAUUUUACCUUCACCAUUUUAAGUAUUAAACAAGUAACCCAGGAAACGAAGGAAGGUUGGGCUGUGAUGAUCUAAAUAGAAAAGUCGAGCAGCCUGGCCUUGAAGGGAUCGACUGAACCUUCUAAUCUCCGAUGCUUCGAAUUCGGCCUUGGCCUUGACAUGACUGUCAUGGAUGCUAGCAAGGCUCACUUCUUCCUCCUUAUAACACUGAACGUGCUCCUCAGGUUUGAGGCAGUUGUCAGAAGUGUUAGCAAGUCUGACUUUCUUCUCUUCGUGAUGCUGAAUGUGUUUUUCAGGAGAGACAUCCGCAAAGCCAAUCGUGGUAGGUAUUAACAGAUGCAACAAUGACCGGGCCUUCUUCACAAGAGAUCCCCAGAAAACUGAAAAAAUUGCCAUGGCUAUAUCCCGAGAAUCAUCAAUAUCAAUACUUGGAGUAAUGUCUGUCUCCUGAGGAUCGCCAGUAUUUGGAGCAGUCUCCAUAUCCUGAAGAUCGCCAGUAUUUGAAGCAAUGCCUGGAUCCUGAGGAUCCUCAAUAUUAGGAGCAAUGUUCAUAUCCUGAGGAUCGCCAAAAUUUAGCGCAAUGUCUGGACCCAGAAGAUCUUCCAUAUUCGAAAUAACCGACAAUGAAUCCUCCCACACGUGAUGACUGCAAGCACCAUGACCCUGUUUGAAAUUUACUCUUCUGUUAAGGCAGAAGCAAUAGUCCUAAAGUUAUAGCGGACCAAGAAUAAAUUCAUGAUAUUCUAGGCCAAUGGAAAUCAUAUUUAUGAUAUAACAGCAAAAGAAAAAGGGAACAAUCUUCUAUAUCAUAUGUUAUAAACUCUUGAUCAUACAUAUAUAGCUACACCGACAUCAAGACCUCCAAUCCUGAAAGCCCUUUUACCAUUGCUUUCGAUCAAUACGGGGAGGAAUAUUGCAAAAGAAGAUGGUUGCCAAAUACCAACAUAAUUGAUUUCUGUUAAGGAUUAAUGUGUUUCAGACCA
Prosopis cineraria is the source of this 1059-nucleotide long non-coding RNA. RefSeq lists it as uncharacterized. NCBI's taxonomy places the organism in Eukaryota, Viridiplantae, Streptophyta, Magnoliopsida, Fabales, Fabaceae. The transcript is spliced from 3 exons. The record is from RefSeq and is a predicted model, not a curated record.